Thunnus maccoyii (southern bluefin tuna) is the source of this 384-nucleotide long non-coding RNA. RefSeq lists it as uncharacterized. NCBI's taxonomy places the organism in Eukaryota, Metazoa, Chordata, Actinopteri, Scombriformes, Scombridae. The transcript is spliced from 2 exons. The record is from RefSeq and is a predicted model, not a curated record.
UAGUCUCAUGAUGUUUCUAAAUGAGUCAGGAUGGCCACAAUGACACACGGGGGCGGUUGCAGUGGUAAUGCUAGCGAGCAAGAGCAGCUGCAGGAGGCUACCACAGCAGCAGCUAGCCAGAGUCACUGACAGGAGCAAGAGGAUAGGCCAGUGCGCUACACUGAACUCAGCCAGAGGGGAAACGCACAGUACUGGCCCGAGGACACAAUAUAUGGAGAGACUGAAAUUGAAUUGCUGUGUCAGUGCUUUGACAUUGACAGCCUGUGUGUAGGGAGCGCAGAUUGGACCAAAAUGUCUAGGACUUUACAACAUACUCUAGAUUCAGACACUACAGCAGCACCCCUGAACAGAGCAGUUGAACAGCGACUCUCAGUGGCAGACUGG